RNAcentral lists this long non-coding RNA (295 nucleotides) under Physcomitrium patens. RNAcentral describes it as "long non-coding RNA (PPAT_LNC009799)". Lineage: Eukaryota; Viridiplantae; Streptophyta; Bryopsida; Funariales; Funariaceae. The record is from RNAcentral.
GAUUAAUCGAAUAAAUUUCAUUCACUCCGCAUAUUCAAUCCUAUAGACACCCUUUGAAUCCUUCAAUCAUAGACGUAACCUCAAUUUCACAAAAUAGUCAAGAGUAAUCACACCCACUUCAUUAAAAUCCCGAUUCACCAGUACAACACUGACUUCAGCAAUGAUUGCCUCAGUCUUCCCAAAAUCCUAUGAAGAAAAAAAAAAAACCCCAAUUCUCUGUCUUUUUUCUCUGUCCCGAAGCAUAAAGCUAGCUCUCCGACUCUUUCAAACCCUUAUUCUCUCCCCUUCAUUUCUU